Long non-coding RNA from Lycium ferocissimum, 872 nucleotides. RefSeq lists it as uncharacterized. NCBI's taxonomy places the organism in Eukaryota, Viridiplantae, Streptophyta, Magnoliopsida, Solanales, Solanaceae. The record is from RefSeq and is a predicted model, not a curated record. The transcript is spliced from 2 exons.
AUUAGUUUUUUUUUCCCUUUAUUAUUAGAAGAGAAAAUUGGAAUGAAAUGGACCCAAUUAGUGUUGAAGAAAAAAGCCAAGUUUUUGCAGUUCAAAGUGAUAUCUUUAUCACAAUUUAUUUGGAGACAAAGUCUUUUUUUUUUUUACCUACAUGCGCCUUUUCUCUCCUCUCCUUUCAUCCGAGGUGCAAUAUUGAGCUCUUUGAAGCAUUGAAGUAUCUUCCCCCCUGAAUUUCAAAGACUAUAGUUGACAUAUUUUAGUUUGUUAAUUAUGGUAUGAGCAAGUGUUCUGCCUCUUGAAUCUUAUAUGUGAGUUCGUCCAUUGGAUUUUGGGUUUGAUUGCGUUGCGACUAUAUUGCUAAGAGAGAAAAGUGUUUUUUUCUUGGUUUAACUUUGAUUGCAGCAUGAGGAAUAAUCACUCAGAAGAAAAUAUGCGAUAUUUUAAUGUCACGAUUCUUGAUCCAACGCAGUCUCCUAUGAAGGGAGGAAGGAAGGAACUUAACUUGGGAGGAAGAGAAUGACAGCUAAUGGAGUUGCGCUAAGGGUAGGAUCUCUUGCAAGUUGAUCAAAGAAGGUGACAAGACAACUAUGAGUCCUUUUACUGGUGUCAACAGCUGUGGUGUGAUCCGAAUGUUUAUUUUUCCUAUUGGACUUGUAAUUGAGAAAAAUUAAAGAUUAUCUUAAUCAUAUUUUCAUUAGGUGGUUAAGAAGAGUUUGAAGAUAUUUGAUUCCUCAUCUUUUAUAGAUUCUAAUUCCUAUGUAUCUAUGAAGAGCAUUUGUCUAUUCUCACAACUCUUCGCAUAUAAAGGAACAUUUACUAGCUACCUUAAAUUGUAAAUAUUGGCCCCGUGCUUGCACGGGCUAUUUUAUCUA